This 497-nucleotide ribosomal RNA is filed under the name uncultured bacterium. RNAcentral describes it as "partial 16S ribosomal RNA". It matches the Rfam family "Bacterial small subunit ribosomal RNA", at positions 28 to 507 of the family's 1533-position model. The record is from RNAcentral.
GAUGAACGCUGGCGGCGUGCCUAAUACAUGCAAGUCGAGCGAACAGACGAGGAGCCUGCUCCUCUGACGUUAGCGGCGGACGGGUGAGUAACACGUGGAUAACCUACCUAUAAGACUGGGAUAACUUCGGGAAACCGGAGCUAAUACCGGAUAAUAUAUUGAACCGCAUGGUUCAAUAGUGAAAGACGGUUUUGCUGUCACUUAUAGAUGGAUCCGCGCCGCAUUAGCUAGUUGGUAAGGUAACGGCUUACCAAGGCAACGAUGCGUAGCCGACCUGAGAGGGUGAUCGGACACACUGGAACUGAGACACGGUCCAGACUCCUACGGGAGGCAGCAGUAGGGAAUCUUCCGCAAUGGGCGAAAGCUUGACGGAGCAACGCCGCGUGAGUGAUGAAGGUCUUCGGAUCGUAAAACUCUGUUAUUAGGGAAGAACAAAUGUGUAAGUAACUAUGCACGUCUUGACGGUACCUAAUCAGAAAGCCACGGCUAACUACGUG